AGUGAACGCUGGCGGUAGGCCUAACACAUGCAAGUCGAACGGCAGCACAGUAAGAGCUUGCUCUUACGGGUGGCGAGUGGCGGACGUGUGAGGAAUACAUCGGAAUCUACUUUUUCGUGGGGGAUAACGUAGGUAAACUUACGCUAAUACCGCAUACGACCUACGGGUGAAAGCAGGGGAUCUUCGGACCUUGCGCGAUUGAAUGAGCCGAUGUCGGAUUAGCUAGUUGGCGGGGUAAUGGCCCACCCAGGCGCCGAUCCGUAGCUGGUCUGAGAGGAUGAUCGGCCACACUGGAGCUGAGACACGGUCCAGACUCCUACGGGAGGCAGCAGUGGGGAAUAUUGGACAAUGGGCGCAAGCCUGAUACAGCCAGACCGCGUGGGUGAAGAAGGCGUUCGGGUUGUAAAGCCCUUUUGUUGGGAAAGAAAAGCAGCAGGUUAAUACCCAGCUGUUCUGACGGUACCCAAAAAAUAAGCACCGGCUAACUUCGUG
RNAcentral lists this ribosomal RNA (492 nucleotides) under uncultured bacterium. RNAcentral's name for it is "partial 16S ribosomal RNA". It matches the Rfam family "Bacterial small subunit ribosomal RNA", at positions 29 to 507 of the family's 1533-position model. The record is from RNAcentral.